AGGCUUUGAUCCUGGCUCAGGAUGAACGCUGGCGGCGUGCUUAACACAUGCAAGUCGAACGAACCUUCGGGUUAGUGGCGGACGGGUGAGUAACGCGUGAGAAUCUGCCCUCAGGAGGGGGAUAACGGCUGGAAACGGCCGCUAAUACCCCAUAUGCCGAGAGGUGAAACGAAUUUCGCCUGAGGAUGAGCUCGCGUCUGAUUAGCUAGUUGGUGGGGUAAAGGCCUACCAAGGCGACGAUCAGUAGCUGGUCUGAGAGGAUGAUCAGCCACACUGGGACUGAGACACGGCCCAGGCUCCUACGGGAGGCAGCAGUGGGGAAUUUUCCGCAAUGGGCGAAAGCCUGACGGAGCAACGCCGCGUGAGGGAUGAAGGCCUCUGGGCUGUAAACCUCUUUUCUCAAGGAAGAAGAUCUGACGGUACUUGAGGAAUAAGCCACGGGUAUAUCCGUG
RNAcentral lists this ribosomal RNA (452 nucleotides) under uncultured Synechococcus sp. Its description in RNAcentral is "bacterial SSU rRNA". It matches the Rfam family "Bacterial small subunit ribosomal RNA", at positions 8 to 507 of the family's 1533-position model. Lineage: Bacteria; Bacillati; Cyanobacteriota; Cyanophyceae; Synechococcales; Synechococcaceae. The record is from RNAcentral.